This 258-nucleotide unclassified non-coding RNA is filed under the name uncultured fungus. RNAcentral describes it as "sequence contains ITS1". The record is from RNAcentral. Lineage: Eukaryota; Fungi.
GUUUCUCAUUGAUUUCUCAUAUUUUACACAGUUGUUUAUAAUGGUGUUGGGGGCGUGGGGCAAAGAGGACCUGCAAGAAGCAGAACCGCCAUUUCAGCAAAAGCUAAAAGUCCCCACGUAUACAUGUAGUUCACAAAGGAGUGCCUCAAGGGCGCCGUUUUCAAGACGAUGGUAUUGCUAGAUUAAAAAUCUAGGAAUACAUCAAUCCCUACUCAGCAGAAAUUUAUAAUGAUCCAACCGCAGGUUCACCUACGGUUA